This 2835-nucleotide long non-coding RNA is filed under the name Sus scrofa (pig). RNAcentral's name for it is "lncRNA (ENSSSCG00005037940.1)". Lineage: Eukaryota; Metazoa; Chordata; Mammalia; Artiodactyla; Suidae. The record is from RNAcentral.
AACAUAAUUUUAUUAUUCAUGUGUCUUGGGAGAAUUUUACAUAUUGUACACAAAGCUGUUCAUAUAUAUUACAUAUGUAGUGACUCAAACAUUUUUCUUUUUAAGGGCCACACUUGUGGCAUAGGGAAAUUCCCAGGCUAGGACGUGAAUCAGGGCUACAGCUGCCAGCCUAGCCACAGCAAUGUGGGAUCUGAGCCAUAUGUGCAUCCUACCUCAGCUUUCAGCAAUGCUGGAUCCUUAACCCACUGACUGAGUGAGGCCAGGGAUCGAACUCGCAUUCUCACAGACGCUAUGUUGGGUUCUGAACCCACUGAGCCACAAUGGGAACUUCUCAAACAUUUAAAAAAUGACCUGUUAUCUAUAUACACAAAACUUCAGUAUUUCUUUUUCCUUAUUUAGUACAAAGAUUCAUUACUACAAAAUUAUUGGCUAUUGAUUGUGAUUUCUGGAAAAUGGAAUAUUGUUUCAUAAGUCAUAAAAGUACAAUGUUAAAUAGAUCACUAUUUUGACCAAUUUUCAAAACUUUUAUGUUCAGUGUUUGCCAACUUAAAAUAAUUACGCCUAACUCCAUGGCUAUCCAUCUUAAAAAAUCAACCCCCAUUACCGCAUCAUGACACUUACUGUUAUUCAUAAAAAUAAGUACAAAUUUCAAUGAAUCUUUAAGCAAAGAUCACCUUUUAUUGUCAUUGGGAUAUUAUGGUCAAAGUUGUUAGUAUCUGGCCAUAGUCUGUAACACUACACUAACAUACUUUAUUGCUAAUUUGCAUUAUUUUCUAAAUUUGUGUUACUAUCCAAUUUGCUCUUUUAAAGAAAUCUUGUCCUUACAAGCUAUUAUAAAUUUACUAGACUCUAGAAUCUAGGGUUGAGGCUACUAUUGCUGUACUGGGUUUAUGAUAAGAUUUCUACUUGAGAAAGCUAUGUUCAGCGAUUGCAUCAUUAGAGUUGGCAAAAGUAAAGUCCUGAUAUAUUGGAUAUUUGAUACUAUCCAAAUAUCAAACAGAAACUGAGACUGCAUAAUCAUGGUGUGGCUGUAAUACAAGUAAAAUUUCUACUCGAUGCAUCACGUAUAUUCCACUAGUUACAGUUAAAUGACUUAUCCAGGGAGUCAACUCUAUGGGUAUUGGGUAUUUGUACAUUUAAAAAUAAAAUAUUUAUAUAUAUAUAUAUAUAUAUUUAGCUCUGUAUACAAAUAGUCAUGCCCUGAAUACUGAAUGUGGAUACUCACCUGUCCACAAGGAAUCCUCAGGUGCAUCAUGUUUCCCAAAGGCAUUUGCACGUGCGUGUGCAUUUAACUACUACUACCUGUUCAACACCACUUUAAACAUUUCCUCUUCAGUACAGCUAAUUACCUUAGACUUCUCUCAUAAGAGAAGGUUAUGUUCCCUUGAUCACAACUGUACCCUCACUGCCGUGGGAGAAUUCCAGGGCCUCUGGGACUUGCUGCCCCAGCAAGGUGCUGCUGGUUCCCACAGACUCAGAUGGGACUUGGGUUUCAAGUUUAGUGGCUCUUUAUUGAAAUAAAUGAACUUUUUCUAAAUCUAACCUCUUUAGCUCUGGUGUCUAGAUCGAAACGAAAUAAGCUGCAUUGUUCCAUUUUACAUUAGGAGGAAUCUACUGUGUAUUAACUAAGUAGUCAGUCAUGAAUGCCAUUUAUAAUAGAAAUAAUUCCUUUAGAGUGUAGACUAUUUUCUAAAUAAUGGGCAUUUUUAUACACAUUUUAUGAUAAGGCUUAAAAAUAUAUAUGAUGUAAAACUCAUCUCUAUUGUGUCAAGAUGGGUGAAAUAUUUUGUGGAUAAGCUUUUUGAGCUGCUACAAUGAUUCCAAAGAGGCUCCACCCAGCAGCAUGAAGGCACACUGCAGAAGACGGCACAUUUCCUGAGAACGUGGAAAUAAAAUUUCUCUAAAAUUUACAGUGUGUUGAGACACUUAGUCAUGGGACAUCAUUUUUGACACCAUACUUAGAUUCAUGUUGCUUUGAGAAGCCGAGAAUUUGAUCUAACUGUAUGUGGUUUAAAAAGUUACCAAAGUGAUCAAAAGAGUAUGCUCUAGUUUGCCCCUAACUUCCUAACCUAGGACAAAGAACAUUAAUUUGUGUUCUGGAUAUAAAAUGCUGGAACUCCAAUUUCAACCCAUGGAUUUCCAAUCUUAACCAUACAGCAAAUUGGGUGUUUGGUUUUAUUGUGAAAAAGAACAGUGUGUGCAUGAUGCUUAUUGCCAUGUAUUUUCUCUUCCCGCCACGUGCUCCCUGCUGCCUUUCCAUGCGGCAGCUUUGAUGAGGGGAAAUCAAAUUUGGUAGCCAGGUAGUGUCCGGUGCUCACUACCAGACAAAGAUGACCACUGAGACUUAAGCACCGAACCCUUUACGUGUGAAUACUGUUUAUGCGAAAAGCUAAGAGCAGUAUAAACUAUGGCUAACUUAGUUUAAUGAUGGGCUGCAUCUCUGAAUAGGUUUUAAAAGAAUUUAUACCAUCUAAGAAUCCUAAAGUGAAUUAACUGAAGUGAAUCUUGGAACUCUGUACACGUUAACACAUCUAAAGAAGGAGAACUGUUUCCUCGUCAUCAAAUAAAAAUGUGCUUUUCCUAAAAGAACUAUAAAAAAUACAUAAAACAUCAAUGUAUAUUAUAUAAUAUACACACUGUACAUAUUAUACAAUGUAUAUAUUACAUUGAGAUAAAACAGCUGACAAUUAUUUCCAAAUUUCAUAAAAUUUUCAAUGGAUUUGGUUCUCAACACAGCAAACUAAACAAAACCCUAAUGAUCACAUCACACGUCAAAAAGCCCACCGACUGUACACAAAAACCCCCAGUAACAAACUUAAGAGACAUUUUUCAGCA